Molecule: ribosomal RNA, 448 nt
Filed under: uncultured bacterium
Lineage: Bacteria
Description: partial 16S ribosomal RNA
Rfam family: Bacterial small subunit ribosomal RNA
Source: RNAcentral
UCCCCAGACUCCUACGGGAGGCAGCAGUGGGGAAUAUUGCACAAUGGGGGAAACCCUGAUGCAGCAACGCCGCGUGAGUGAAGAAGUCUUUCGGUAUGUAAAGCUCUAUCAGCAGGGAAGAAGAAAGACGGUACCUGACUAAGAAGCCCCGGCUAACUACGUGCCAGCAGCCGCGGUAAUACGUAGGGGGCAAGCGUUAUCCGGAUUUACUGGGUGUAAAGGGAGCGUAGACGGCAUAGCAAGUCUGAAGUGAAAGCCCGUGGCUCAACCGCGGAACUGCUCUGGAAACUGUGCGGCUAGAGUACUGGAGGGGCAGGCGGAAUUCCUAGUGUAGCGGUGAAAUGCGUAGAUAUUAGGAGGAACACCAGUGGCGAAGGCGGCCUGCUGGACGACAACUGACGGUGAGGCGCGAAAGCGUGGGGAGCAAACAGGAUUAGAUACCCCCGUA